Molecule: long non-coding RNA, 4776 nt
Organism: Serinus canaria (Common canary)
Lineage: Eukaryota; Metazoa; Chordata; Aves; Passeriformes; Fringillidae
Exons: 3
Source: RefSeq, a predicted model, not a curated record
AAAGCCGCUGCCGGAGCCCCCCAGCCCCGCAGGGCCCGGAUUGGCGGGGCGGGCAGCACUGCGGGGGGAGCCGCGCAGCGGGGGGAGCAGAAUUAAACAACAACCAAAAAAAAAAAAAAAAAAAAAAAAAAAAAAGAAAAAGGAAAAAGAAAAGCAAACAGCGGAGGGGAAAGUGCAAUCCAGCCGCAAGCAUCGGAAAAAACAGCCCCGGGGAUGCCCCGGACACGGCCCCGCCGGCUCCUCCCGCCUGCGGGGCUGGGGGGGCUCAGAGGGGUCCCGGGUGCAGCGCGGAAGGACCAGGUGGGAAGGGCUGGAAACCGCAAACCUCUUGAGGAAAAAACUUGUGUCUCCACUGAAGCAGGAUUCCUGAGCAUCCUUAACAAGUGGGGGACAGUCCUGAGAUACAGAUUGGCUCAACAGUGACAGCCCAGGAUGGCCCAGGCUCUACCAGGAAGAUCGUCAAUUUAUUGCUCCAACAGCCACCCCGGCACUGCAUGUUGGCUGUGUGUUAUUGACUAUGGACAUUAUGGGCUGCUCCCCAUCUGUUUACCAACAAAUACUGCUCCUAAAGGUAUGGCGUUGUGCUUAUCGCUACACGUUGACCCAGCGUGAAAAAUCUGCCAAUUUAUAUUUUCAUGACAUCAGGAGCUAGAAAUGCAGUUCUUGCCAGCUUCAAACACUCUCAAAUGUUUCAUCUAGUAUGCUGGGGGAAAAAAUUUAAGGAACUGCUCUUCUGCAAAUUACUGAAGUUGGUGGAGGGGGGAGCUAUUUUGAGGAUUUCAAAUGCAUUCUUCUCUUCCUUUUUUUUUUUUUUUUUCCCAAUAGUUGUCCAAAUGGUUAUUGAAACAGCUUGUUCAUGAAAAUCCUGAAUUGGUAAAUGAAAAUUGUUAUUUUCAGAUCAUAUUGUUAUUACCUAAAGGAAAAAAAGAGAAUAAAUUACAAGCAAAAAAAUCAACAACUUUUCAUGAAAAAUCUGCUAAAGAUCAGAGAGAGGGCAGCAAACAUUUUCCAUUGGGUGCAAUGCCAACUGGUUCCUGGUUAGUGUGUAUUAAAUUAAAUAUUCAAUUUGGUCAUGCACUGCUUUUAUUGGUGGAUAAAAAAUCGACAAAUAAGUCUAAUGCAGAGAGAUGCUUCAUGCUGCAGCCUGGCAAAUCCCAUUGCAGCUCUUGAGCAGUGCUUUGGGUGGGGAAACCUGUUCCUCUUGCCACUGCAACCCUGCAAGGCUGAUGCCUGGGAUGCAUGGCUAUUGCAUGGGGAGUCCUUUCACCUUGUGACCCACUGAUGUCCAUCAUGGCUGGGCCAGCAGUAGGUGACCAGCACCUCUGUCAUGAUGCUGAGGGCAGGAAGCAGGAGAGGGACUGUUAGGCAGUGAUCCUCUCCCAGACACUGAGGCUUUGCCACUGAGGGACCUUCAGAACAGGGAGUGGGACCACUGAAUUUAACUUCUUCCAAUUUCUCUGCUGAACUUAUCCAGUUGCUUUUUGCCUGUAAUUUUUUCUGUGCUCCCACAGCAAGGAGGCCACAGCUCAACUGUGACAGGAGAGCUCUCUCUUUCACUGGAGUGGAGCUUGCUGCUAUCUGUUGGCUCCAUGUUCUUGUACAGGGAAGAGCCAAGCAUCCACCUUGAUUUGGCAGAAUUCUUUCCUCUUCCCUGCUCAGCCCACUCCUUCCAAAGGUGUUGUUCAAUGGGAACCACCCCAAGCAGGAGGGUUUCAGCCUAGAAGCAGCAGCCUCCUUCCCCAGGCUCCUCCCUGCUGGGCUGGAAGGAGGCCAGUCCCUCCAGAGCUCCAGCAGCACGAGGGGCAAGCCGGGAGAUGAGUGGAGGAUCACUCCUAUCCCCAGCACCCCACAUCUUCAGCCCAGCAGGAGCUCCAGGCAGGAAUGAGAUAUGUUGGCAUAAUAUCAGAGAGAAGGGUCUUGUCUGGGGCUCUGCUUUGCCUCUCGAAUGCUGCCCCUGGAGAUUUGGUAUCUGCUUGAGACUUCUGGUCCAUCAAUUAUUUAAUUCCCUCCAGCCAUGUGGUCUCCAGCCCCGAGUGCUCGUCUCCUCUGAGCGCACAGGCCUGCCUAUGGGGGGAAAGGGAUUGGGCAGGGGGAUGCAGAGCAGGGGCUGGGCAGAUGAUUCCCACUGGGAAGCAAAGCAGAGGCACUGGAGACAGGUCCCACUAGCCGAAGUCUUGAGCAGAGCACUUGGGCCAGCACCUUCUUUCCCAGCCACCCAUUGGUUGGAGGGAUGGGUUCUUCUUCUGAUCCCUGGGGAUGACCCUGAGGAAAGCACCUCCCUGCUCCAUGCUUCACUUUACCCACCUAUAAAAUAGGGCCGAGAUUUCACAAGUGGUGUGAGCUCCAGUGGCAUCCAAAACGUGCGUGCAAGGCAGUGUUUUGCAAUAAGCAAGGGUGUCACUGUCACCCUUGCUCACAGGAGCUACACCUCCAAUGUGCCUUUAGUGGAUCACAUAAGGCUGGUGGUCCCUGUUUGCUGCUACUGCCCGUGCUGUCUCAAGCUAAAGCAGCAUGGCACAGCACAGCAGGCGCAGCUGGGUAGGCAGGACAAGCUGCGACAUGCGGGCAGGCUGGCGGCUGGAGCUGGGUAGGUGUGUCCCUGUUACCCAAUAAAUAACUCAAGCCCUAAAGCGGCCCAUUGUAAUUACAGGGGCCCCGCGCAGAUUGAAAACGAAGAAGAAGGAGGGGAAAAAAGGAAAUCAAGGUUCAGUUCUUCCCCAGGAGGUAGCGCUCCAUGGGGAAAGCAAUAGAAGGGAGCAGUGAUUUAUAUCUCUCCAGAGGAAUUCUCCUUUGCAGGGCCGCCCAAGGCGCCGCCAGGUUCAGCUGAGUUUCUAAUCUGAAUAUGCAUGAGCCAGUAAUUAAUUCUCUCUGAUACUGAUCCAGAUUUGGGGUUGGUUUUGUGAGUGUGUGCGUGCGCGUUUGGUGUCCGUCUUCUCCCAGGUGUGCUAACACACCAAGGAGGGAUGAGACGAAGGAGUGCUGCCUCUCCACAGCUGUCCUUGCAGGAUGGUAGCCACUGACACUUCAGGGCCAGCUUGGGGCAGACAGGUGACCCUGGCUGGGUGGAGACUUCUGUGGGGUGACUCUGGUUGGUGUCCUACUGGGGACAGCAUGAGGAAGGGGGACAGAGAGUAGGGCACAAUCAGGGUCACCUACCUGGGGCUGGCUACACCAUGGGGCAAUCCCUGCCCAAACACAUACCCAGCCUUGGGCAUGUGCAGGAGGUGUUUUCCCUCCUCCAGCAGACAUUACAAAGAUACUGUGCUUGCAAAGUGCUGAGAAGAGGGAGGGAGGGAAGAGAGUCUUGACUCACCUCCUCCCUCCCACCUCCCUCUCUCCUUUUAAAUCUCCUCCAUGCAUUAUUUGAGCAGUGGGAUGGGAGCCCUGAGGAGUGAAACCUUGUCUCUGGCCGAAGGCCCAGGCCUGGGGCAGGAUGUGGGUGUGUAAACCCCAUGCCAUAGGCCCUUCCUCUGGGUCUGAUCCACAGCUCAUAGUCACAACCAGCCUUCAAACCAGGGGAAGACCAGUAAACAUUAAUGAAAAAGAAACUACUGUUUUCCAGCUUCACAGAGCCCACACCGUGGAACACAGGUCUCUUCCCCUGGCCCCAGGAGCAUGUUGCCCCAAUGGCUUGCUCACCCUUCCCUUGAGAGAAAGGCAAUAAUUAGCUUUCCUGCCUUUAAACCUUGCCAUGAGGGUCUGGCCAUCUCUCAGGAAUGAGUUGAGGUGGUUCCAACACACAGGCAAGGAGAGAUGGGGAUGAGAGUACUGGUGCCUGGGUCAUGACAUCAGCAGUGCUGGCCCUUGGCAGCCAGGAGGUGCUGGAUCCAUUCCUGAUGUUGUGGGCUCCCUGAACAGCCAGCACCCCAAUCUGGAGGCUUUCCUGGUCCCCCCAUCACGUCCUCAUCUGCCUGUAGCCAGGUGCAGGAUUAGCAGCAGUGCUGAGGUGUAUUGCCCCACUCCACCUGGCCCUGGCUCCUGACAGCACCCACGUGCAGCAGAAAAGGGACUGCCUUGGCCCCACAUCUCAGCCCAAUAGGGCAGUGGCUUCCCAGAGCCACAGAGAAGCCAGUGAGCAUCAAGGGACCACGGUGUCAUUGCCUGCUGGGGUCACUGGAUCUGGAGAAGUCACACUCCCUUUCCCACACCCUCCAGUAACAGGGGAUGACUCCUCCAGAACACUGUCCUCACUCUGGGGCUCUAUGCAGAGGUCCAAGGACUGUGCCAUGUCCUGCCUACCAGAUCCAGCUCCAUCCAGUGGAGUGCAGAGGAGACAGACUCCCUGCAUCCAUCUGAGGGAUCCCUGUGAUGUCUACAGGCUUGGAAGCAGCGGGCUGGGAACAACUGGUGAGUCAGAGCCCUGUGUUGUAACGUGGGGGGCAGAGCGCGUGUUGGAGCAGGGAUGGCCGUGAGCUUCAGUGCGGGGCCCGCCUGGGCCUUUUGCAAUCCUCUGGGGAAAGGCGAAGUCAGUGUCUCCAUCCCUUAAUUAAAGUGUGCCACAGGGCCCUGCUCCUGCCUGUUUACAUGGUUCGUGGGGAUGGACAGAGGAGCAGCAGCCCGGGACAUGGGGAGGAGGGUGGCCUCAUCAGCCCUUCCCUGGGCUGGGGCAGCCGAUGCUCUCGAACAGUCUCUGGCUCCAGCAGCCAGGUUUCAGCCUUGAGCCCACAGUCUCUCAAAGACACGUUUUGGAACCAUGAGCUGAUUCCAGUUCUCUACACACAUCUCCUCCCUCCUGUGAGUGCACAAGAAGCUCGUUCCCACCUCCCCAUCGCCCUU